GAAUGCAAUGGACGAGGGAAGGGGGUGUCUUAGGGUGUUUGUCAUUGCUUUUUAUAGUUUGUCACCCUCUUAAAAACAUUUUCAGCAGGGAGCAAGGCCACAGGCCAUCUGUGUUGAAGGAAACUCCAUGCUGUUUCUUUGCUAAGAUGCAGAUUUUUGCCCCUGCCUGUUUCCUGACAAAGAAUGACCACUUAGCAGCAGCAAGGAGGAAACGCAGACUACAAAUAUUAUGAAGGAACUCUGAGUACUUGUAUCUAAUCUGAGGCCCAGAUGAAACAAAUGAAAUUUACACUUGGAGGAUCAGAAAGAUGCAGAUGGGUGUUUCUGUAAGUCAACUUGGAAGAGUGGUAGAUGCCUCCACAAUGUUCAAGGCAGUAGAGAAUCAAGCCCAUUGAUUUUAAUUGGAACCACUUCAUUAAGGACUAUUGAGAGGCAAGACUGGAU
Mauremys reevesii (Reeves's turtle) is the source of this 444-nucleotide long non-coding RNA. RefSeq lists it as uncharacterized. The record is from RefSeq and is a predicted model, not a curated record. The transcript has 3 exons. Lineage: Eukaryota; Metazoa; Chordata; Testudines; Geoemydidae.